UAGGGAAUCUUCGGCAAUGGACGGAAGUCUGACCGAGCAACGCCGCGUGUGUGAUGAAGGCUUUAGGGUCGUAAAGCACUGUUGUAUGGGAAGAAAUGCUAGAAUAGGGAAUGAUUCUAGUUCGACGGUACCAUACCAGAAAGGGACGGCUAAAUACGUGCCAGCAGCCGCGGUAAUACGUAUGUCCCGAGCGUUAUCCGGAUUUAUUGGGCGUAAAGCGAGCGCAGACGGUUGAUUAAGUCUGAUGUGAAAGCCCGGAGCUCAACUCCGGAAUGGCAUUGGAAACUGGUUAACUUGAGUGUUGUAGAGGUAAGUGGAACUCCAUGUGUAGCGGUGGAAUGCGUAGAUAUAUGGAAGAACACCAGUGGCGAAGGCGGCUUACUGGACAACAACUGACGUUGAGGCUCGAAAGUGUGGGUAGCAAACAGGAUUAGAUACCCUGGUAGUCCACACCGUAAACGAUGAAUACUAGGUGUUAGGAGGUUUCCGCCUCUUAGUGCCGAAGCUAACGCAUUAAGUAUUCCGCCUGGGGAGUACGACCGCAAGGUUG
This 550-nucleotide ribosomal RNA is filed under the name uncultured bacterium. RNAcentral's name for it is "bacterial SSU rRNA". It matches the Rfam family "Bacterial small subunit ribosomal RNA", at positions 355 to 896 of the family's 1533-position model. The record is from RNAcentral.